UACGGGGGGGGGCAAGCGUUGUUCGGAAUUACUGGGCGUAAAGGGCUCGUAGGCGGCCAACUAAGUCGGAUGUGAAAUCCCCAGGCUUAACCUGGGAACUGCAUCCGAUACUGGAUGGCUUGAAUCCGGGAGAGGGAUGCGGAAUUCCAGGUGUAGCGGUGAAAUGCGUAGAUAUCUGGAGGAACACCGGUGGCGAAGGCGGCAUCCUGGGCCGGCAUUGACGCUGAGGAGCGAAAGCCAGGGGAGCAAACGGG
RNAcentral lists this ribosomal RNA (254 nucleotides) under uncultured bacterium. RNAcentral's name for it is "partial 16S ribosomal RNA". It matches the Rfam family "Bacterial small subunit ribosomal RNA", at positions 524 to 776 of the family's 1533-position model. The record is from RNAcentral.